AGUGAACGCUGGCGGUAGGCCUAACACAUGCAAGUCGAACGGCAGCACAGUAAGAGCUUGCUCUUACGGGUGGCGAGUGGCGGACGGGUGAGGAAUACAUCGGAAUCUACUUUUUCGUGGGGGAUAACGUAGGGAAACUUACGCUAAUACCGCAUACGACCUACGGGUGAAAGCAGGUGAUCUUCGGACCUUGCGCGAUUGAAUGAGCCGAUGUCGGAUUAGCUAGUUGGCGGGGUAAAGGCCCACCAAGGCGACGAUCCGUAGCUGGUCUGAGAGGAUGAUCAGCCACACUGGAACUGAGACACGGUCCAGAAUCCUACGGGAGGCAGCAGUGGGGAAUAUUGGACAAUGGGCGCAAGCCUGAUCCAGCCAUACCGCGUGGGUGAAGAAGGCCUUCGGGUUGUAAAGCACUUUUGUUGGGAAAGAAAAGCAGCAGGUUAAUACCCCGCUGUUCUGACGGUACCCAAAGAAUAAGCACCGGCUAACUUCGUG
This 492-nucleotide ribosomal RNA is filed under the name uncultured bacterium. RNAcentral describes it as "partial 16S ribosomal RNA". It matches the Rfam family "Bacterial small subunit ribosomal RNA", at positions 29 to 507 of the family's 1533-position model. The record is from RNAcentral.